This 396-nucleotide ribosomal RNA is filed under the name Triticum aestivum (bread wheat). Its description in RNAcentral is "partial small subunit ribosomal RNA". Lineage: Eukaryota; Viridiplantae; Streptophyta; Magnoliopsida; Poales; Poaceae. The record is from RNAcentral.
AUGACUAGGGAUAACCUUAGUAAGAGACACAUCAUCAAACCCCUUGAUUGUGUUUACUGCUUGGAACAAGAGUCUUGUUCUCACGUAUUUUUUGAAUGUAUAGUUGCUAAACAUCUCUGGGCCCACAUUGAGGAAUAUUUCUCUAGUCAGAUUGGCUCAUCCUUCGAAUCUGUCACCAGAUUCUGGAUUGCUACCAAAAAGUGCUCAGUUUUAAACACUGUUAGCUCAGCUGUCCUUUGGUGCCUCUGGAAAUAUAGAAAUGCUAUGAUUUUUAGUAACACCACCUGGAUUUCCAUUCCGCAGGUCUUGAGGUUGAUCAGGAACAUGGUGAGGAACUGGGCGAUUCUCUCCUCCGGAUCGGACAAGGACAAGUUGAUGAGCUUCGUGAAACCCUAA